RNAcentral lists this ribosomal RNA (374 nucleotides) under uncultured bacterium. Its description in RNAcentral is "bacterial SSU rRNA". It matches the Rfam family "Bacterial small subunit ribosomal RNA", at positions 525 to 896 of the family's 1533-position model. The record is from RNAcentral.
ACGUAGGGCGCAAGCGUUAUCCGGAUUUAUUGGGCGUAAAGAGCUCGUAGGCGGUUUGUCGCGUCUAUCGUGAAAGUCCGAGGCUCAACCUCGGAUCUGCGGUGGGUACGGGCAGACUAGAGUGAUGUAGGGGAGACUGGAAUUCCUGGUGUAGCGGUGAAAUGCGCAGAUAUCAGGAGGAACACCGAUGGCGAAGGCAGGUCUCUGGGCAUUUACUGACGCUGAGGAGCGAAAGCAUGGGGAGCGAACAGGAUUAGAUACCCUGGUAGUCCAUGCCGUAAACGUUGGGCACUAGGUGUGGGGGACAUUCCACGUUUUCCGCGCCGUAGCUAACGCAUUAAGUGCCCCGCCUGGGGAGUACGGCCGCAAGGCUA